UCUUCAUUUCGCACACUCUCUCGCCUCUCUGACCGGUGAGAGAGUGCGUGAAAUGAAGAGA
This 61-nucleotide microRNA precursor is filed under the name Pristionchus pacificus. Its description in RNAcentral is "mir-8364 microRNA precursor family". It matches the Rfam family "mir-8364 microRNA precursor family". Lineage: Eukaryota; Metazoa; Nematoda; Chromadorea; Rhabditida; Neodiplogasteridae. The record is from Rfam by way of RNAcentral.